Molecule: long non-coding RNA, 178 nt
Organism: Oreochromis niloticus (Nile tilapia)
Lineage: Eukaryota; Metazoa; Chordata; Actinopteri; Cichliformes; Cichlidae
Exons: 2
Source: RefSeq, a predicted model, not a curated record
GUGUUGGACUUUGUCCCUUUUCCCCUGGACCAUUGCACAUCCUGCCCUGUACACGUGGGGUUUGUAAAUAAAUGGACAGAGUUCAUGUUCAUGGACAUCAGGAUAAAAACAGAAGAUGGAAACCUGCCAGAUUUGAGCUGCUCAUGUGUCGUCCCUGGGCAGGUCACAUGACUCUAUC